Molecule: ribosomal RNA, 305 nt
Filed under: uncultured bacterium
Lineage: Bacteria
Description: bacterial SSU rRNA
Rfam family: Bacterial small subunit ribosomal RNA
Source: RNAcentral
GACGAACGCUGGCGGCGUGCUUAACACAUGCAAGUCGAACGGUGAAGCCCAGCUUGCUGGGUGGAUCAGUGGCGAACGGGUGAGUAACACGUGAGCAACCUGCCCUCCACUUCGGGAUAAGCCUUGGAAACGGGGUCUAAUACCGGAUAUGAGCGCUCAUCGCAUGGUGGGUGUUGGAAAGUUUUUCGGUGGGGGAUGGGCUCGCGGCCUAUCAGCUUGUUGGUGGGGUGAUGGCCUACCAAGGCUUCGACGGGUAGCCGGCCUGAGAGGGCGACCGGCCACACUGGGACUGAGACACGGCCCAG